AUGCCGGUGACUCAAAUGUUGGCUUACCCUGAGAAGGGCCAGGCGAGUGUCUCAAAGAGAGCAAGCCUUGCAGGUGAAACACUCAGUGCCUGGCGUUGGAGCCCAGAUGUGAUGCUUUCAGCUGCAAAGUCACACACCUUGAAGGGCCGGAGCACAAACAUGGUGGGAGCAUAUCUGGCAAGGGAAGGAGGGGCGGCUCUCUGCUCGCUGCCUUCUUGCACGUCGAAAGCCCUCAGACUAAGCUGCUCGGCUGAAAGCAGUACUGCUUUAUUUCUGCCACUUAAAAGCGAGCAGUUUUCCUGCUGGGGCCACCGGCUGCCUGGCCUAGAUAUGUGCAGUGAUGCCCAGGGCUGUCUGGGGCCUGCUCUGACAGCCCUCAGGCUCAGAGGGCCACGCGGUCAUCGCCUGCUGGAAAACGAAUGGUGACAGCCCUCCCCGGACUCACUGUGAAUGCCAGUGACACUUGUGACAGUUACAAGGCCAGGGGUGCCUCCUGCUGCACCCAGGCCCUCUGCGAGCAGCAGCACGGGUGUCGUGCCUGUGCUGCGCUGGGAUCAGGCCUCACGUCCUCCAUCCCGACACCGUCCUACACACAGUGUCCUACUCACACACUCCAGGCUGGACUGCUACUUUGAACACUCCUAUCUCACAUGAUAUGCUACAGUUACUGACCUUCUUAGCAUGAGUACUUUCUAUUUGCUGGUAGAAUUGUGGAAUUUGAGAGAAAGGGCUUGUAAAUAGCACCCGAGUGCAUGCACACUCCGUCUCAACUCACACUAUGCACCGUGACAAGGUGAGUUAGAGGAACGCACUGGACACAAGUAGCACAGCUGCAAUGAUGAAUCCUGGCAAGUGUACCUGAGCACUGAGAACACGGUGUGAGCACAGCAGAAAACAGGUGAAAACAGGUGACCCAGCCAUGCAGGUAAGGGCCGCAGAGGUGCAGCAGCAUGGACUUUAAAGCAGGACAGCAAACACUGGGGGAGACCACGGGAACACCUGGGUGUUGCUGGCUCGGUUUAGAGGUUGUACCGCCUCUGUACUGUGCUGCCCAUGCAACUAGACUAAAGCCUGCAUGGCCUCCAGUUAUCUUAGCUGGUUUUCUUUCUUGCUGUCUUGACCAUGCUUUUAGAAAACAAAUUUAACCAUGCCCCUUUGUUCUGGUCUCCAUUGACAGUAAGACUUCUGCCGUGAUUCUUCUUCUUCUUCCCCUGCUUUUUCUCUUGAUUAUUAUCUGUCUAAAGAAAUUUUCC
RNAcentral lists this long non-coding RNA (1253 nucleotides) under Anas platyrhynchos platyrhynchos (common mallard). RNAcentral's name for it is "lncRNA (ENSAPLG00000018656.1)". The record is from RNAcentral. Lineage: Eukaryota; Metazoa; Chordata; Aves; Anseriformes; Anatidae.